GUGCCAGCCGCCGCGGUAAUACGUAGGGGGCGAGCGUUGUCCGGAUUUAUUGGGCGUAAAGGGCUCGUAGGCGGCUUGGCAAGUCGGCCGUGAAAACCCAGGGCUCAACUCUGGGACGCCGGUCGAUACUGCCAUGGCUAGGGUCCGGUAGAGGGGAAUGGAAUUCCCGGUGUAGCGGUGAAAUGCGCAGAUAUCGGGAGGAACACCAGUAGCGAAGGCGGUUCCCUGGGCCGGCACCGACGCUGAGGAGCGAAGGCGUGGGUAGCGAACAGGAUUAGAUACCCUGGUAGUCCACGCCGUAAACGUUGGGCACUAGGUGUGGGGCCUACUUAACGGGUUCCGUGCCGUAGCUAACGCAUUAAGUGCCCCGCCUGGGGAGUACGGCCGCAAGGCUAAAACUCAAAUAAAUUGACGG
This 415-nucleotide ribosomal RNA is filed under the name uncultured bacterium. RNAcentral describes it as "bacterial SSU rRNA". It matches the Rfam family "Bacterial small subunit ribosomal RNA", at positions 505 to 916 of the family's 1533-position model. The record is from RNAcentral.